CAAAGCUAAAACCUAGACAUGAAUGGUAGCCCACACCGAUAAUACACAAAAUCCAAUAAUCUUCUUCUCUGAUGCGAUCAAAUGGAUUUGACUAUCAAGACAGUCUUCAUAUACAAUACGCUCCCUUCCAAAAGGGGAGUGUGGGGGUAGGGAACGACUGACCAAA
Molecule: long non-coding RNA, 166 nt
Organism: Drosophila miranda
Lineage: Eukaryota; Metazoa; Arthropoda; Insecta; Diptera; Drosophilidae
Exons: 2
Source: RefSeq, a predicted model, not a curated record